RNAcentral lists this transfer RNA (73 nucleotides) under Pirellulales bacterium. Its description in RNAcentral is "tRNA-Phe". It matches the Rfam family "tRNA". Rfam says of the family: Transfer RNA (tRNA) molecules are approximately 80 nucleotides in length. Their secondary structure includes four short double-helical elements and three loops (D, anti-codon, and T loops). The record is from RNAcentral. Lineage: Bacteria; Pseudomonadati; Planctomycetota; Planctomycetia; Pirellulales.
GGGGGGGGACGGUAACCCCUAAACGGGUGGACUGAAAAUCCAUGUGUCGGCGGUUCGAUCCCGCCCCUGUCCA